UGUUAAAAGAUUCACCCAUUUGUACUGUUAACAACGAGUGUGACUGAUAGGGCAGCUAGAAUGAGGUACAUGUCUAGUUAUUCUAUCAGUUACGCCGGUUUUUAACAGUAGAAAUAGAUGAAAUUUUUAAUA
Non-coding RNA from Gossypium raimondii (Peruvian cotton), 132 nucleotides. The record is from Rfam. NCBI's taxonomy places the organism in Eukaryota, Viridiplantae, Streptophyta, Magnoliopsida, Malvales, Malvaceae.